This 1029-nucleotide ribosomal RNA is filed under the name Triticum aestivum (bread wheat). Its description in RNAcentral is "partial small subunit ribosomal RNA". Lineage: Eukaryota; Viridiplantae; Streptophyta; Magnoliopsida; Poales; Poaceae. The record is from RNAcentral.
AUGGUCUCCACGAACCCGCCGCCGCCGCUGUCCGAGGCGGCCGCCGCCGCGUCGAGCGACGACGCCAGCAAGAAGGUGCGGAAGCCCUACACCAUCACCAAGUCGCGCGAGAGCUGGACGGAGCAGGAGCACGACAAGUUCCUCGAGGCCCUGCAGCUCUUUGAUCGUGACUGGAAAAAGAUAGAAGCUUUUGUUGGUUCGAAGACUGUCAUCCAGAUAAGGAGCCAUGCACAGAAGUAUUUUUUGAAGGUUCAGAAAAAUGGAACCAGCGAACAUGUCCCACCUCCACGACCAAAGCGUAAAGCUGCCCACCCAUACCCUCAGAAGGCCUCCAAAAAUGAGUCAGGAUAUGCCCUGAAGACAGAUCCAUCUGCCAUGCUUAGAAAUUCAGGAAUGAACGUGGCUGUUUCUCCAUGGACCCACAAUUCUAUCCCACCAGUUGUUGCCUCAUCUUUCAUGAAAGAUUUAGGUGCUGGGUCUAUGGGUCCAAACAUUUUUUGCUCAAGCAGUAGUGAAGGCCCUCCAAGGGCAUGGCAAUCUGGUGAAACCAAUGACCAGAUAAAUCAAGUUCCGUCACUCCGCAUUAUGCCAGAUUUUGCUCAAGUAUACAGCUUCUUAGGCAGUGUUUUCGAUCCAAGCACAAAGGGCCAUUUGCAGAAACUGAAGGAGAUGAAUCCAAUUGAUGUUGAAACGGCACUGUUGUUGAUGAGAAAUCUCUCCAUCAACUUGACCAGUCCUGAUUUUGAAGAUCAAGCAGUCAGUUUCAGAUGUUUAACUCCUUAUUUGGUCAGUAGCAGAAGUUAUUUCUUUCCUAUAAAGAAACUGCAGAGGAUUUCAACAGCAUGCUCGUGUCUUCUUGAACUUGGGUGUCUCUUCACACACUGUGCUUCUAGCAGGGUUUGCCCAAUUGCCAUGGUUUCUGCCUUUCUGAGGAAGUUGCUGUCUUCGUACAAUUCCACCUCUGAUGGGCUAGAGCUAGGGAGCUCCAGAAGCUCACUUCUUACGGAUAAUGCAUUGAGCCUUUUUUGA